Molecule: ribosomal RNA, 256 nt
Filed under: uncultured bacterium
Lineage: Bacteria
Description: partial small subunit ribosomal RNA
Rfam family: Bacterial small subunit ribosomal RNA
Source: RNAcentral
AGGACGAACGCUGGCGGCGUGCUUAACACAUGCAAGUCGAACGGUGAAGCCUUUCGGGGUGGAUCAGUGGCGAACGGGUGAGUAACACGUGAGUAAUCUGCCCUUGACUCUGGGAUAACUUCGGGAAACCGUGGCUAAUACCGGAUAUGACGCAUGGUCGCAUGGUCUGUGUGUGGAAAGAUUUAUUGGUCAGGGAUGAGCUCGCGGCCUAUCAGCUUGUUGGUGGGGUAAUGGUCUACCAAGGCGACGACGGGUA